RNAcentral lists this unclassified non-coding RNA (334 nucleotides) under soil metagenome. Its description in RNAcentral is "partial contains 5.8S ribosomal RNA, internal transcribed spacer 2, and large subunit ribosomal RNA". The stretch from base 1 to 119 matches the Rfam family "5.8S ribosomal RNA", at positions 35 to 154 of the family's 154-position model. The record is from RNAcentral.
GAUGAAGAACGUAGCGAAAUGCGAUAAGUAAUGUGAAUUGCAGAAUUCAGUGAAUCAUCGAAUCUUUGAACGCACAUUGCGCCGCCAGUAUUCUGGCGGGCAUGCCUGUUCGAGCGUCAUUUCAACCAUCAAGCCCCCGGCUUGUGUUGGGGACCUGCGGCUGCCGCAGGCCCUGAAAACCAGUGGCGGGCUCGCUAGUCACUCCGAGCGUAGUAGUUACAUCUCGCUCAGGGCGUGCUGCGGGUUCCGGCCGUUAAAAGCCUUAUUUACCCAAGGUUGACCUCGGAUCAGGUAGGAAGACCCGCUGAACUUAAGCAUAUCAAUAAGCGGAAGA